Molecule: non-coding RNA, 45 nt
Filed under: Schistosoma margrebowiei
Lineage: Eukaryota; Metazoa; Platyhelminthes; Trematoda; Strigeidida; Schistosomatidae
Source: RNAcentral
AUGCAGCUGAUGUGUCCAGAACAUAACGAAACGCUCGUCCUGAAU